UCUUGGCUGCUAACGGGCGGAUUCGUCCACCCACGUCUGUGCGAGUAGUUGAAGGGGAGCGGCGAUGGACCGCGGCGGCGGAGAUGGUGGAGCGAGGCGGCGGAGAUGGUGGAGAGAGGCGGCGUAGGACGUGGCGGGGCGGCGUCGAGGGGGCUCUUCGUCCUUCAGUCUAUCGUCUUCAAGAUGGAAAACCAUUCCCCUCCGUCCGACGACCUCCGCCUCGCCGACCACCACUCCUCCCCCGGCUCCUCUCCCAAGGCCGGCGAGCUCCUCUCCCGCGACCCUGUCCCUCGCCCUCCGCCUGGAUUAGGGCCAUUCCGACGUUCUUGGCGGCCGGAAUUAAGGGAGUCCGAGACGGUCAAGGAGAAAGAACCACCGAAAGAAGAAAUUAGGGUUUCCCAGUCGUUCAAACAACCAAGAAGAAGACGAAGAUGCAGUUUGGGAGGCCAUUGCCGACCGGGGGGCAGCAGAUGAGGUGUUGCUCUCCUUGCAGAAUGAAGCGACUUCGAGCCCUUCACGGGAUGAUCCCAAAAGGCGAGGAAGGGGGUCGUUCUUGGACAAAAAGAGCUGUUUGUAUGGUGACCAGCCUGACAUUGUGACCGCCUUAGAACGCAAUUCGGGGGUCCGAGAAUGAAACGGAUGCUCGUGGUCACCAUUUUGAGGAGGAGUCGACCGGAACUAGACUCAAGAUUUGGUACCAGCGAUGUUCUUGUUCUCUGUGAUUUCCUCCCUAGUACUCGAACGAUCGAUUUAGAGAAGCUCUUUGAGAAAUUAGAGAUCGUGGGGUCCUAUAUGCUGGGUUAAUGAUACUGUUGCAAUUGCAGUCUUUCGAACACCAGCCACUGAUUGGCAGUCAUGUAUCAACCAUACUGUUCCCUGUUGCCACACAUGAGGCUCAGAGCAGCCUUAAUUGCCCAUCCGAAGUACGUUCGCUUUUUGAGGAUCACUGCCUGUUGACCCAGCUUACUCCUAAAGAUCUGGAGCCUCCUUAUCCAAGGCCUAAAACAUCAGCAAGAACAACCCAGAGGUUGAUUGCUCAAGGAAUGGGAAUAAAGCCCUGUACAAAAAUUUGGGUCUAUCUGAGCUGAGGAAGCAAGAAAGAAACGUAUACAUGCUCGGCAAACUUUAGGGGAUGAUGCAUGGGGUUCUGGCAAUGCAUAGCGCUCUUUGCUCAUUUGUCAUUUUGAUUGGGUUCUUGUGUCAUCAAUGAAGUGGAAGCAACAUUCUCUGGUUCUUGGUGCAUCAACGGCUUGCAAAAGAGGUAGCAUCUCCUAAGUAGCAGCUAGAGAGAUUGCUUAAUUCCUGUGGAAUGGGAAGGUAGGGAUUUCGGAAUGGCUUCUGUGCCAUGGGAGGUGGACUUCGUGCCUUAUUAGAAAAUGAUGGUCGACAGCCGGCAUACCUUGGUCCGAUUCUCGCCAUCUUUAUUCUUCAUUUUUUUUUUUUUGGUGUUAUUUGAUAGACCGACCUGUGACGUGACGCCAUCAAUAUGCAUUUGGAUGGGCAAACCCCGUGCUUCUCUCCCUCUCGACAUUUCCACGGUCAGCCCCUCAAUGCAUCUCCAUGUUCCGAGCAAGAACUUUGGACUUGGGGUUCAGGUCGGUUAUCACUAAUUUAAGGAAAAGGAGGAAAUCUAAUCUAGCUAACUUAAUGAUAAAUAGUCCUCAGGUCUUCUUGUAGCAUAAAUAAAAGGUAAAAACAAUUUGAUAAAGUAUUUCGCUCUGGAAUUUAUAUAGUUGAUGUGUAACUUUUUGUUUUCAUCCAUCCUCACCCGGUCUGGUACCGGCUAUCAUUUGUGUAACAUUUUUAUGGGGAUAUAUUCAUGCGUUACUGUUGCAGUACUCGAGAAAAUGCUUUCGAUCGAGCAAUAUUCAACACCUGCAACAACCUCUUGCGCCGCAGUAUUGAUCCGAAGUUGCUCCCACAGAAUUUGCUUCUGAUGCCAUCUUGUGGGUUGAAUCUUGUUGACGUUAGACUAUAUUCUGGGGAGCGGUAAUUUGAAGGCACAUGAGGUUAUGGUUCAAUGUAAUUUUCUGGCCUCUCUCCCUAACAAGCAAAGUGCCGCUUGUAAAGAUAAUUAUUCAUUGGCUAACUUAAGAUUUCAUCGUCAACCAUAACAUCAUUUUCCUGAAAAUGAAGUUAGCAUAAUUGAGGUUCCGAUCA
Non-coding RNA from Phoenix dactylifera (date palm), 2160 nucleotides. The record is from RefSeq and is a predicted model, not a curated record. Lineage: Eukaryota; Viridiplantae; Streptophyta; Magnoliopsida; Arecales; Arecaceae.